This 400-nucleotide long non-coding RNA is filed under the name Bos taurus (domestic cattle). Its description in RNAcentral is "long non-coding RNA NONBTAT010608". Lineage: Eukaryota; Metazoa; Chordata; Mammalia; Artiodactyla; Bovidae. The record is from RNAcentral.
CUAGAUGUGGUGUGGUAAAACGGGGUGUCAAGUGUGAGGGGGCAGGGUUGACAGAUUGGAGGGGGAGAGAAGCUUUGCCUAGAAGCUUGCUCUCCAUAGGACGACCGGGGUAGCGGGAGCCAGUGAAGGCUUUUAAGCAAGCAACCCACUGAGACGUGCAAUGUAGGGUGAGCUCUGUGGUAGCAAAGUGGAAAGUGGAAUAGAUUCAGUUGCAGAUGAACACAGCUUUGUCACAAAAACAUCCUGCUCCACCCUUCACUCCCCCAGUUCCUCCUCCCUCGGGGCAAAUUCUUUGCUCUCUCUAUUCUGGUAUUUGCUUCUUUACUUCCAAAGAUCAUGUUCAAACUAUUUCUUGACCUUUGUCCAUCAAAGAUAGAAAUGGGAUAAUGAUAAAUAAACA